GCCUCGGUAGCGCAGUAGGCAGCGCGUAAGUCUCAUAAUCUUAAGGUCGUGAGUUCGACCCUCACCCGGGGCA
This 73-nucleotide transfer RNA is filed under the name Schistocerca americana (American grasshopper). RNAcentral's name for it is "tRNA-Met". It matches the Rfam family "tRNA". From Rfam's summary of the family: Transfer RNA (tRNA) molecules are approximately 80 nucleotides in length. Their secondary structure includes four short double-helical elements and three loops (D, anti-codon, and T loops). Lineage: Eukaryota; Metazoa; Arthropoda; Insecta; Orthoptera; Acrididae. The record is from RNAcentral.